Long non-coding RNA from Triticum dicoccoides, 499 nucleotides. RefSeq lists it as uncharacterized. The transcript is spliced from 3 exons. Lineage: Eukaryota; Viridiplantae; Streptophyta; Magnoliopsida; Poales; Poaceae. The record is from RefSeq and is a predicted model, not a curated record.
CAGCCCUUAAAACCAUGACUCUUGGUCAACAGGGUUGUAAGGUAUUUGGACGACUCUUACGCCUAUGGGAUGCAAUAAACAUGAAAUCCAAGUUUGCAGAUCCUCUCAUCAGCAUUGAUGGUGUCCUUUUAGAUGAAGAUGGCAAUAUGGCGCAAAUCAGUGUACCCAAAAAAUUUCAAAGACAAUUCCGCCCCUUACUCACAGAAGGACAUGUCUACAUCUUAUGAUAUUGCAGCUGUUGAUAUAAAAAACAAAACCCAUAUAUAUCACCACCAAAACUAUAUGUUGCAAUUCAAGCACAACACUAAGGUUCACCGACUUGAAACCAGAGGAACAAAUAUACCAAAGUUUUCCUUCAAUUUUUGUCCAUUUGAUAAUCUACCAGAAAAAGAUACUUUUGCAAAACCACUUCAAGAUAUAAUAGGAGUCAUUAGCCAUUUGAUUAUGCAAGUCAGACAUGUACAAAUUAACUCAGGAAAAUCAAAAUUCAAAACCUAGA